This 238-nucleotide ribosomal RNA is filed under the name uncultured Pseudomonas sp. RNAcentral's name for it is "partial 16S ribosomal RNA". It matches the Rfam family "Bacterial small subunit ribosomal RNA", at positions 114 to 355 of the family's 1533-position model. The record is from RNAcentral. Lineage: Bacteria; Pseudomonadati; Pseudomonadota; Gammaproteobacteria; Pseudomonadales; Pseudomonadaceae.
UGCCUAGGAAUCUGCCUGGUAGUGGGGGACAACGUUUCGAAAGGAACGCUAAUACCGCAUACGUCCUACGGGAGAAAGCAGGGACCUUCGGGCCUUGCGCUAUCAGAUGAGCCUAGGUCGGAUUAGCUAGUUGGUGAGGUAAUGGCUCACCAAGGCGACGAUCCGUAACUGGUCUGAGAGGAUGAUCAGUCACACUGGAACUGAGACACGGUCCAGACUCCUACGGGAGGCAGCAGUA